AUAAUAAAUUGUUUUUUAAUUAAAAACUAGAAUGAAUGAUUGGACGAGAAAUUAACUGUCUCAUAAUUAAUUGUAAUUUGAAUUUAAUUUUUAAGUUAAAAAGCUUAAAUAUAAUUGAAGGACGAGAAGACCCUAUAGAAUUUUAUAGUUAAAUUACUUUUUUAAAAAAAAAUAAUUUUUAUAGUAAUAAAUUAUUAUAUAAGGGUGAUAAAAAAAUUAAUUAAAUUUUUUUUUUAUAAAAACAAUGAUUAUUGAGUUUUUGAUCCUAUAAUAUAGAUUAAUAGAAUAAAUUACCUUAGGGAUAACAGCGUUAUUUUUUUUUAAAGUUCAUAUUAGUAAAAAAGAUUGC
RNAcentral lists this ribosomal RNA (349 nucleotides) under Perreyia tropica. RNAcentral's name for it is "partial large subunit ribosomal RNA". The record is from RNAcentral. Lineage: Eukaryota; Metazoa; Arthropoda; Insecta; Hymenoptera; Pergidae.